AGGAUUAACGCUGGCGGCGUGCAUGAAACAUGCAAGUCGAGCGCGGUGCGUGGCUUCGGUCACGCAUCUAGCGGCGCACGGGUGAGUAACACGUGAGCAACCUACCUUCGAGUUCGGGAUAGCCCUGGGAAACCAGGAUUAAUACCGGAUGUGGUCACAACGGGACAUCCCGAUGUGAAAAAAGGCGCAAGCCGCUCGAUGACGGGCUCGCGGCCUAUUAGCUUGUUGGUGGGGUAACGGCCUACCAAGGCGACGAUGGGUAGCUGGUCUGAGAGGACGAUCAGCCACACUGGGACUGAGACACGGCCCAGACUCCUACGGGAGGCAGCAGUUAGGAAUUUUCCGCAAUGGGCGAAAGCCUGACGGAGCAACGCCGCGUGUGUGAUGAAGGCCUUCGGGUUGUAAGCACUGUCGGAGGGAAGAAUGAAUGACGGUACCUCCAAGAAGCCCGGCUAACUACGUGCCAGCAGCCGC
Molecule: ribosomal RNA, 474 nt
Filed under: uncultured bacterium
Lineage: Bacteria
Description: SSU rRNA
Rfam family: Bacterial small subunit ribosomal RNA
Source: RNAcentral